UACGUAGGGGACAAGCGUUAUCCGGAUUUACUGGGUGUAAAGGGAGCGUAGGCGGCUUGGCAAGUCAGAAGUGAAAUCCCGCGGCUCAACUGCGGGCGUGCUUUUGAAACUGUCGGGCUAGAGUACUGGAGGGGCAAGCGGAAUUCCUGGUGUAGCGGUGAAAUGCGUAGAUAUCAGGAAGAACACCGGAGGCGAAGGCGGCUUGCUGGACAGAUACUGACGCUGAGGCUCGAAGGCGUGGGGAGCAAAC
This 250-nucleotide ribosomal RNA is filed under the name uncultured prokaryote. Its description in RNAcentral is "partial 16S ribosomal RNA". It matches the Rfam family "Bacterial small subunit ribosomal RNA", at positions 524 to 773 of the family's 1533-position model. The record is from RNAcentral.